CAGGGAAUCUUGUGCAAUGAACGAAAGUUUGACACAGCGACACCGCGUGUGGGAUGACGGAUCUAGGUUUGUAAACCACUUUCAGGAGGGAAGAAAAUGACGGUACCUCCACAAGAAGCCCCGGCCAACUACGUGCCAGCAGCCGCGGUAAUACGUAGGGGGCGAGCAUUGUCCGGAAUUAUUGGGCGUAAAGAGCUCGUAGGCGGUUCAACAAGUCGUUCGUGAAAGUUUAGAGCUUAACUCUAAAAUGUCGAUCGAUACUGUUGUGACUAGAAUACGGUAGAGGUGAGUGGAAUUCAAAGUGUAGCGGUGAAAUGCGUAGAUAUUUUGAGGAACACCAAAUGCGAAGGCAGCUCACUGGGCCGCUAUUGACGCUGAGGAGCGAAAGCUAGGGGAGCAAACAGG
Molecule: ribosomal RNA, 405 nt
Filed under: uncultured bacterium
Lineage: Bacteria
Description: bacterial SSU rRNA
Rfam family: Bacterial small subunit ribosomal RNA
Source: RNAcentral